GGGGGCGUAAAGGUUUCGACGGGGAUUGUGAUGCAGAGUAAGCGAGUAGCGGUGCGGGACCGCUAUAAAAUCCGCAACCUAAAAAAUAAACGACAACAAUUCUGUUGCUCUCGCGGCCUAAUUAGGCUGCCGUCUUUACCCGGAGUACCGCGGCUGGGAUAAAGGCGUCGACUAGCGGUGCACGUGAACAGGGGCUUGCCGCUGCCUCUGUCAUGACGGGGCGGCUACCGUAGCGCAAAGCCUGCCGACCGGCGUUGCGUGAGGGGAAUCUUAAUUGACCGGCUGCACUCGGAGAAAGCACUGUGGAUCGGUUUUCGGACAGGGGUUCGACUCCCCUCGCCUCCACCA
This 348-nucleotide transfer-messenger RNA is filed under the name Clostridia bacterium. It matches the Rfam family "transfer-messenger RNA". From Rfam's summary of the family: Bacterial tmRNA, also known as 10Sa RNA or SsrA, is named for its dual tRNA and mRNA-like properties. Its role is to liberate the mRNA from a stalled ribosome. To accomplish this part of the tmRNA is used as a reading frame that ends in a translation stop signal. The record is from RNAcentral. Lineage: Bacteria; Bacillati; Bacillota; Clostridia.